CCUGGAAAUAAUCAGUGCCUCUUCAAUGUUCCAGGAAAAGGCCUGUUGCUAGCUUUGUGUUGUAAAAAGUUAAUGAAUUUUCAUAUGAAAAUAGUUUUUUAAGGCUGUGGACAACAAAGACGUUGGAGGCUUUUACAUUUCCGUGAUCAGUUGCCGUGAAUGAGGACAUCUUACUUAUGUAAAUAGUAUUUACUGUGACGAACUUUGAGGCGUUCCUGGUGGGACGUCUGAGCCCACGACACGUUUCGCAACAUACUCCCUCAGACCUGUUUUUCUGAGGUUAGAAUGGAUCUUGUGAAACAUACCGGUGGCUGCCAUUGUGGAGCUGUGAGGUUUGAAGUGUGGAGCUCUCCAGACCUCCAUGUGUUCCAUUGCAACUGCAGUAUUUGUACAAAGAAACAAAAUCAUCAUUUCAUUGUCCCCAAAGACAACUUUACACUUUUGCAGGGUUUGGAUCAUCUGACCACAUAUACAUUUAACACUCACAAUGCGAAGCACACCUUCUGUAGAAACUGCGGGGUUCAGAGUUUCUACACGCCACGCUCCAACCCUGAUGGAUACGGUAUUGCGCCACAUUGUCUUGAUCCAGGUACUGUGCAAAGCAUCACAGUAGAAACAUUUACAGGAGACAAAUGGGAAGAAAGCAUGGAAGUGCACAAAACCAUCAGAGACAUGUCCAAACCAAAAGAACUGAGAAAUACUAAAUAAUUCCAGUGUUGUC
Molecule: non-coding RNA, 721 nt
Organism: Nerophis lumbriciformis (worm pipefish)
Lineage: Eukaryota; Metazoa; Chordata; Actinopteri; Syngnathiformes; Syngnathidae
Source: RefSeq, a predicted model, not a curated record